This 411-nucleotide ribosomal RNA is filed under the name uncultured bacterium. RNAcentral's name for it is "bacterial SSU rRNA". It matches the Rfam family "Bacterial small subunit ribosomal RNA", at positions 109 to 518 of the family's 1533-position model. The record is from RNAcentral.
AGUAACACGUAAGUAACCUAGCUAUUUAGACGAGGAUAACUACUGGAAACGGUAGCUAAGACUGGAUAUGAUAGAAAUAUUUAAAGGAUGCUAAGGCGAUCGCUAAUAGAGGGGCUUGCGGCGCAUUAGCUAGUUGGUAGGGUAAAAGCCAACCAAGGCGAUGAUGCGUAGCCGACCCUGAGAGGGUGACCGGCCACACUGGGACUGAGACACGGCCCAGACUCCUACGGGAGGCAGCAGUAGGGAAUCUUCGGCAAUGGACGGAAGUCUGACCGAGCAACGCCGCGUGAGUGAAGAAAGUUUUCGGAUUGUAAAGCUCUGUUAUUAGGGAAGAAAGGCUCUAGGAGGAAAUGCUUAGGGAUUGACGGUACCUAAUGAGGAAGCCACGGCUAACUACGUGCCAGCCGCAGC